RNAcentral lists this ribosomal RNA (429 nucleotides) under Bacteroidota bacterium. RNAcentral's name for it is "Bacteroidetes bacterium partial 16S ribosomal RNA". It matches the Rfam family "Bacterial small subunit ribosomal RNA", at positions 355 to 776 of the family's 1533-position model. Lineage: Bacteria; Pseudomonadati; Bacteroidota. The record is from RNAcentral.
UAGGGAAUCUUCCGCAAUGGACGCAAGUCUGACGGAGCAACGCCGCGUGAGUGAAGAAGGAUUUCGGUUCGUAAAACUCUGUUGUUAGAGAAGAACAGCGCAUAGAGUAACUGUUAUGCGUGCGACGGUAUCUAACCAGAAAGCCACGGCUAACUACGUGCCAGCAGCCGCGGUAAUACGUAGGUGGCAAGCGUUGUCCGGAUUUAUUGGGCGUAAAGCGAGCGCAGGCGGUCAAUUAAGUCUGAUGUGAAAGCCCCCGGCUCAACCGGGGAGGGUCUUUGGGAACUGGUUGACUUGAGAGCAGAAGAGGAGGGUGGAAUUCCAUGUGUAGCGGUGAAAUGCGUAGAUAUGUGGAGGAACACCAGUGGCGAAGGCGACUCUCUGGUCUGUAACUGACGCUGAGGCUCGAAAGCGUGGGUAGCAAACAGG